CCCUGCGCCAAAUUCAACUUCGUACUAGCCAAAUAUAACUAGCACUUGUUUCAUUUCGUCGUGAACCGUGAUUGAGAAUCGUUCCUCAGUGGAGUCUACGGCGAUCCGCGAGAUACACAAGACACAAUGGCAGCAGAUCUGAAAGACGUUGAAAUUGAGAAGGCACAGUUUGUCUUUUCCGUUUACGAUUGGGAUGGCAGCAACAGCAUUGAUGCUAUCGAUAUCGGAAACGCUCUGCGUGCCCUCAACCUGAACCCAACUCUGGAACUCAUCGGCAAAAUGGGUGGAACCCAGAAACGCGGUGAGAAGCGAGUUAAGUUCGACGAAUUCCUCCCCAUCUACGCCCAGGUCAAGAAGGAGAAGGACAUGGGAUGCUACGAGGAUUUCCUUGAAUGUUUGAAGCUGUACGACAAGGAAGAAAACGGCACCAUGCUGUUGGCUGAAUUGCAACACAGUUUACUCGCUCUGGGUGAGAAGUUGACCGAUGAGGAGCUUGAAAAUGUCUUCAAGGAUUGCAUGGACCCCGAGGACGAUGACGGUAACAUCCCAUAUGCCCCCUUCCUCAAGAAGAUGAUGGAUAACAUGGUCGUCAUCAACCACAAGUAAACAUUUGAACGAACAUCAUUCAAUAACUAAAUUUACCAACAUGUAAUAUGUAAGAGUAUUCCAUUUCUUCAGAGAUUGUGUGACUAUACACCAAAAGCAUAUUAGAUCUGUUUUGCGACCCGAUAAUCUGGUUGCAACAUUUGUAUGAUGGUUAUAUAAAUAUGUUGAAAACAAAAACAAACCAACGUUAAGUAAGAACAUCAAUCAACGUCCAGGGAAAAUAACAAAACAACAUCGACGAAAUCAGCAAGAACAGCGUUUUACCAAACAUCAGCACGUUAAACAAAACUGAUAAUUUAUUAUGCCAUCUAGUAUGGGAGCGGUUAUUAAUAAUUUCUUUUUUUAAGUUUUUAAUAAAAAUAUAUGUAUAAAGAGAUUAUAUAAUCCCUGGCAGUA
RNA transcript from Armigeres subalbatus, 1002 nucleotides. It is a transcript of the gene named myosin light chain alkali, with no coding region annotated. Lineage: Eukaryota; Metazoa; Arthropoda; Insecta; Diptera; Culicidae. The transcript has 6 exons. The record is from RefSeq and is a predicted model, not a curated record.